This 429-nucleotide long non-coding RNA is filed under the name Setaria italica (foxtail millet). Its description in RNAcentral is "long non-coding RNA (SITA_LNC004559)". Lineage: Eukaryota; Viridiplantae; Streptophyta; Magnoliopsida; Poales; Poaceae. The record is from RNAcentral.
UGUCAAGCUUUAAAGCAAAGGUUUUGACAAACAAGAAUAAAGGAGAAUAUGCGGAGCAUUUGCACAUUGAAUUGGAUAGAUUCCGGAGCAUCGACUAUAUGUCAAGUUUAGUAAGUGUGAGUUUUGGCUAAAGAAGGUUCCGUUCAUUAGGCCUGUUUUGUCCGAGUAAGGAAUUGAAGUGGAUCUUGGAAAGGUCAAGGACAUAAGUCGUUAACAACUGCUCAUGAAGUAAGAAGUUCUCUUACGAUAGCCGGACGCUAUCGAGGUCAGAUCUGAAUAUGAGGCAUGAGAUGGCUGAAACUAAUCCAAGAUUAUAAACUAGAGAUUGUAUCAUCCGAACAAAACUAAUGUACCCUGCAUAACCGUAUCUUGCACGAUACCUUAAAGAAAAAGGUAGAACAAGCUCAGAAGAAGGACAAAGGAAUAAGA